Molecule: ribosomal RNA, 253 nt
Filed under: uncultured bacterium
Lineage: Bacteria
Description: partial 16S ribosomal RNA
Rfam family: Bacterial small subunit ribosomal RNA
Source: RNAcentral
GACAGAGGACUCGAGCGUUAGGCGGAAUCACUGGGCUUAAAGCGGGUGUAGGCGGGCCCGUAAGUGUCUUGUGAAAUCCCACGGCUCAACCGUGGAACUGCUGGGCAUACUGCGGGUCUUGGGCCAACUAGGGGCAGCCGGAACAAGCGGUGGAGCGGUGAAAUGCGUAGAUAUCGCUUGGAACGCCGAAGGUGAAAACAGGCUGCUGGGGUUGCGCCGACGCUGAGACACGAAAGCCAGGGGAGCAAACGGG